UUUAAGGUAUAUCCUGAUGGGUCUUAAUCUUGUAGACCCACAUUCUUUGAAACACUUCAUGGAAUAAAUAUGUGUUUUAAGUCCACAACUAUUUGUUAGACCUGUAGGAAAGAACUACUGGAUAGAU
Molecule: small nucleolar RNA, 127 nt
Filed under: Vulpes vulpes (red fox)
Lineage: Eukaryota; Metazoa; Chordata; Mammalia; Carnivora; Canidae
Source: RNAcentral